RNAcentral lists this ribosomal RNA (239 nucleotides) under uncultured Bacillota bacterium. RNAcentral describes it as "uncultured Firmicutes bacterium partial 16S ribosomal RNA". It matches the Rfam family "Bacterial small subunit ribosomal RNA", at positions 97 to 334 of the family's 1533-position model. The record is from RNAcentral. Lineage: Bacteria; Bacillati; Bacillota.
GGCGAACGGGUGAGUAACGCGUGAGGAACCUGCCUCAAAGAGGGGGACAACAGUUGGAAACGACUGCUAAUACCGCAUAAGCCCACGACCCGGCAUCGGGUAGAGGGAAAAGGAGCAAUCCGCUUUGAGAUGGCCUCGCGUCCGAUUAGCUAGUUGGUGAGGUAACGGCCCACCAAGGCGACGAUCGGUAGCCGGACUGAGAGGUUGAACGGCCACAUUGGGACUGAGACACGGCCCAG